GGAUCUGUUAUUCUUUUCUUCCUGUCUUCUUUAGUUUUCUUUAAAAUCAUAAGACAAAGUAGGGACUCUUUGCCUUAUGGAGGAUUCCUCCGCUUGACCAGCUCUGACCAGCGGAGGAGCAAAGUGUGCUUCAUUUCCGCUGGUCAGAGCAAUUUUCCCAUGAUCCCUAGCUUUCCUCUGUGAUCCCACAAUGCUUCCUGUCACUUUACACUAAACUGCC
RNAcentral lists this long non-coding RNA (220 nucleotides) under Pelobates cultripes (western spadefoot toad). The record is from RNAcentral. Lineage: Eukaryota; Metazoa; Chordata; Amphibia; Anura; Pelobatidae.